CUGGCGCGGUUCAAUACCUCGUCUAGCUUGGGUUCCAGUGUCUUUUUUUUUUUUUUUUUUUUUUAACUGACAAACUCAUUUCUCUACUGGGACAGGAUGCUGUGCUGGCUGGAAGUUCCAUUUCUACAGCAAGAAUCCUAUCUGGAAGCACAGAAGUUGUCCUCUAGCCACAGCAGCUUGAACUUUUUUGAUUGUUGUUGCUGCUUUCUCCCAUCACCCCCAUCCCCUUUUGACAAAGAUCCAACUGUAUAAAGUCUUACGUAACAGUUCAGGACUACUUCGGUUCUUUUACUGGUAUAUCAAGAGGCCUCAGGAGGACUAUGAUAACAUUUAUAUCUCCAAGUUGGAAAAAAAAAAAAAAGUGGUUUCAACAUUUCAUAUCUCUGGAAAAAGAGAUCUGAGAAGAAUGUCCUUGUUAUUUUGAUUGGGAUCCCACUGAAUCUGUAAACUGCUGUGGGCAGUAUGGACAUGUUGAUGAUAUUAAUUCUUUGAAUUCAUGAACUUAGAAUACCAAAAAAUGGAAAAAAUCUUCCAUCUCUUUCAUGUUUUCUAAUUUUCAUUGUAGAGAUCUUUCAUAUCCCUGGUAAAAUUUAUUCCAAGGCAUUUAAUAUUUUUGUAUCUAUUGUGAAUGUGACUGACUUUACAAGUUCUUUUUCAGUCAUAGAAUUAUUUGUGUAUACAAAGGCUAUUUUUGUAUGUGAUUUUAUAUUCUGCAGUUUUACCAAACUUUCUUAUGAGCUCCAAUAGUCUCUUAGUGGAAUCUUUUGGUUUCCCCAUUUAUAAGAUCAUGUCAUCUGCAAACAGGGAUAAUUUGCCUUCCUUCUUUCAAAUUUGUAUACCUGGGGAUGGUGCUGUGGUGUAGGUUAAGCCUCUGCCUCCAAGGCUGGCAUCCCAAAUGGGCACCAGUUCAAGUCCCGGCUGCUCCACUUCUAAUCCAGCUCCCUGCUAAUGGCCUGGGAAAGCAGUAAAAGAUGGCCUAAGUGCUUGGGUCUCUGCACUCAAGUAGGAGACCUGGAAGAAGCUCCUGGCUCCUGGCUCCAGCUUGACCCAGCGCUGACUGUUGGCAGCCAUCUGUGGAGUGAACCAGCCAAUAGAAGAUCUCGGUCUCUCCCUCUGUCUAUAACCCUGCCUCUCAAAUGAAUAAAUUCUUUAAAAAAUCACAUCCCUUUGAUUUUUUUUCUGUCUCAAUGUCUCUGGCUAAAACGUCCAGAACUAUAUUGACUAGUAAUGGGCUCACUCAGUUUGUACUGAUUUUCUUUCCCCUCAGUAUGGAUCAAACUUUGCUUGUGUUAUAAUUUUUUUCCUGAACACUGAACAUUUAAACUAAAGUGCUGUUAGAAAUUGUGGAUUAUCUUCAAAAUUUAUAUUUAUUAAAUAAAAGAUUUUUAAAACAACAGUAAAAAAAAAAAAAAGAAAUUGUGGAUUCUGGGGAGUCAGCGCUGUGGCACAGCAAGUUAACACCCUGGCCUGAAAUACCCACAUCCCAUAUGGGUGCCAGUCCUAGUCCCGGCUGCUCCUCCUGCGAUCCAGCUCUCUGCUAUGGCCUGGGAAAGCAGCAGAACAUGGCCCAAGUCCUUGGGCCCCUGCACCCACGUGGGAGACCCGGAAAAGCUCCUGGCUCCUAGCUUCCGAUCGGCACAGCUCCAGCCAUUGUGGCCAAUUGUGGAGUGAACCAGCAGAUGGAAGACCUCUCUGUCUCUACCUC
Lepus europaeus (European hare) is the source of this 1705-nucleotide long non-coding RNA. RefSeq lists it as uncharacterized. NCBI's taxonomy places the organism in Eukaryota, Metazoa, Chordata, Mammalia, Lagomorpha, Leporidae. The record is from RefSeq and is a predicted model, not a curated record. The transcript is spliced from 3 exons.